Molecule: small nuclear RNA, 93 nt
Filed under: Myotis brandtii (Brandt's bat)
Lineage: Eukaryota; Metazoa; Chordata; Mammalia; Chiroptera; Vespertilionidae
Source: RNAcentral
AUACCAAUAUACAAAAAAAUUGGAACGAUACAGAGAUUAGCAUGGCCCCUGCGCAAGAAGGACACGCAAAUUUGUGAAGCAUUCCCUAUUUAA